GCCUGGGUGGCUCAGUUGGUUAAGCGUCUGACUUCAGCUCAGGUCAUGAUCUCACGAUUUGUGGGUUCAAGCCCCGCGUCGGGCU
Molecule: transfer RNA, 85 nt
Filed under: Felis catus (domestic cat)
Lineage: Eukaryota; Metazoa; Chordata; Mammalia; Carnivora; Felidae
Rfam family: tRNA
About the family: Transfer RNA (tRNA) molecules are approximately 80 nucleotides in length.
Source: Rfam by way of RNAcentral